This 497-nucleotide ribosomal RNA is filed under the name uncultured bacterium. RNAcentral describes it as "partial 16S ribosomal RNA". It matches the Rfam family "Bacterial small subunit ribosomal RNA", at positions 28 to 507 of the family's 1533-position model. The record is from RNAcentral.
GAUGAACGCUGGCGGCGUGCCUAAUACAUGCAAGUCGAGCGAACGGACGAGAAGCUUGCUUCUCUGAUGUUAGCGGCGGACGGGUGAGUAACACGUGGAUAACCUACCUAUAAGACUGGGAUAACUUCGGGAAACCGGAGCUAAUACCGGAUGAUAUUUUGAACCGCAUGGUUCAAAAGUGAAAGACGGUCUUGCUGUCACUUAUAGAUGGAUCCGCGCUGCAUUAGCCAGUUGGUAAGGUAACGGCUUACCAAGGCAACGAUGCAUAGCCGACCUGAGAGGGUGAUCGGCCACACUGGAACUGAGACACGGUCCAGACUCCUACGGGAGGCAGCAGUAGGGAAUCUUCCGCAAUGGGCGAAAGCCUGACGGAGCAACGCCGCGUGAGUGAUGAAGGCCUUCGGAUCGUAAAACUCUGUUAUUAGGGAAGAACAUAUGUGUAAGUAACUGUGCACAUCUUGACGGUACCUAAUCAGAAAGCCACGGCUAACUACGUG